CAGCAGCCGCGGUAAAACGAAGGGGGCUAGCGUUGUUCGGAUUUACUGGGCGUAAAGCGCACGUAGGCGGAUCGAUCAGUCAGGGGUGAAAUCCCAGAGCUCAACUCUGGAACUGCCUUUGAUACUGUCGAUCUGGAGUAUGGAAGAGGUGAGUGGAAUUCCGAGUGUAGAGGUGAAAUUCGUAGAUAUUCGGAGGAACACCAGUGGCGAAGGCGGCUCACUGGUCCAUUACUGACGCUGAGGUGCGAAAGCGUGGGGAGCAAACAGGAUUAGAUACCCCAGUAGUCCCUGUCUCUUAUAC
Molecule: ribosomal RNA, 301 nt
Filed under: uncultured bacterium
Lineage: Bacteria
Description: partial 16S ribosomal RNA
Rfam family: Bacterial small subunit ribosomal RNA
Source: RNAcentral